This 21-nucleotide non-coding RNA is filed under the name Caenorhabditis elegans. Lineage: Eukaryota; Metazoa; Nematoda; Chromadorea; Rhabditida; Rhabditidae. The record is from RNAcentral.
UCUCAGAGUAAGUGUUUCAGU